This 485-nucleotide ribosomal RNA is filed under the name uncultured bacterium. RNAcentral's name for it is "SSU rRNA". It matches the Rfam family "Bacterial small subunit ribosomal RNA", at positions 26 to 518 of the family's 1533-position model. The record is from RNAcentral.
AGAGCGAACGCUGGCGGCGUGCUUAACACAUGCAAGUCGAACGAGGUCUGUAGCAAUACAGAUACUCGUGGCGAACGGGUGCGUAACACGUGGAUAACCUUCCUUCAGGUGGGGAAUAACCCAGUGAAAAUUGGGCUAAUACCGCAUAACAUGACGAUGCCACAUGGUGUUGUCUUCAAAGGCGCAAGUCGCCAGAAGAGGGAUCCGCGGCCGAUUAGCUAGUUGGCGAGGUAAUGGCUCACCAAGGCAAUGAUCGGUAGCCGGACUGAGAGGUUGGCCGGCCACACUGGAACUGAGACACGGUCCAGACUCCUACGGGAGGCAGCAGUGGGGAAUCUUGCACAAUGGACGAAAGUCUGAUGCAGCAACGCCGCGUGGGGGAUGAAGCUUUUCGGAGUGUAAACCCCUUUCGACCCGGAAGAAAGCCCGCAAGGGUUUGACGGUACGGGUAUAAGAAGCCCGGCUAACUACGUGCCAGCAGCCGC